CAUCUGCCGCCGACGCAAUAUCGCCCACGGUGGCGGAGAAUAUCCAAUAGCUCCCAAUUUAUACCAUAAGACCAUAUUCCCUCCCUCUUCAUGGAUCUGUCAAGAUCUUCAUUCAAAACCCACCAGAAUUCCCCAAAAAUUCAAAACACUAGCAACCGCCCUUGUUCCUCCGGUGGGCGCCACUAUCCAACCACCCCCAAAUUCACACCAAGCCAUCACCACAUCCUCCCCAUCUCAAAUCUCCCUUCCAUUUGUCUCAAAACCCUCUGAAUCUUCUCGAAUAUUAAUUCAAAAGAGACUGCCAAAACCCUACCACCACCUAUCAACCUUAAAAUUACACCAGAUAACCACCACACCCCCUCACCUCAUAUAUCUUACCAAUUGCUCUAAAAAUCCCUUCAAGAUUUUCGAAUUUAAGAUCUGUGAUUCAGAAGAGACCCUAGCUCGAGGAUAUCACUGAUGCACGGUCAGGUUGUGUCCUUCUUUGCUCAUAACACUCUUUCUUUUUCCUAUCUUUUUUUUUAUGAUCGUUUGCCUCCAAUUCUGAUUUCUUCUUCUUUCAUUUUCUUUUGGUCAAAUUCUGACGUUUUCCUUGCUUGAACGAGUGUCAAAUUGCAAUGAUUUACAUCAAUUUAUUCAGGUUAAUUUGUGCAUCCCGAUAUCUAAAAUGAUUUAGCUUCGUAUGUGCCAAGAUAUGUCAUUUUUAGUUUCGGAUAAUCUCUGGUAUUGAUUUAUUUUGUUUUUACUCCCAAUAUUUAUUAGUUGAUUAGGUUAAUUUGGAUAAUGUUUAAUUGUUCGAACUUGACUUUGUCUGUAUGGUCAGCUCACAGGCUCAAAUAGUCAUGUUUGGCUAAUCCUAAUUUCAAGUUAAAGUUUGUGAGUGUGAUUGAAAACUUAGUUCAAAUUCAAGAGCUGAAAUGCAACAUCAUUUAACUAAAGGUCUUAAAAAUGGUUGAGGUAAUUUAAAAUCAGGACAUAUCGCAAAAUUGAAAUACCCAGUAACUAAAAGGGUAAAUGGGGAAAUAAGCUUUAGAGAAUCUUGCAAUAAUAGAAAUAGAAGCCCCUUAAGGUUUGAGUUGCAAUUUAUGAUUCUUGAUAGUAUUACUUGGGUAGCAAGUCAGGAAUCUAGGGGUAACUUAGUUAAAACAAAAAAUUCAAAAAGGGUAAGGGGUAAAAACUAAUUCUGAUGUUUGCCAUACUAAAUCGCCUAUAAAGGCAUUGGGUACUUGCCUUGUAGAUUAGGUUUUGGAGAUAAAAAAAGUUCUAAAAAAAUCUGAAAAUUUCGAAAUAAGAGUUUUUGAAGCUUGAGAGCCUAAAUUUAGAAAGUCUGCAGAUUUCUUAUGAGUUUGAGAGAAUCUGAAAUUUGAAGAGCCUAGAAUAGAGGGAGAUUUUCAGGAACUUCAGAGAUUUCUUCAAAAAAAUAAUGUUCCAUUGACUCUUGCUAUUGAAUUAUGAAGUUAAAACAACAUUUGG
This 1473-nucleotide long non-coding RNA is filed under the name Nicotiana benthamiana. Its description in RNAcentral is "long non-coding RNA (NBEN_LNC007096)". Lineage: Eukaryota; Viridiplantae; Streptophyta; Magnoliopsida; Solanales; Solanaceae. The record is from RNAcentral.